This 2926-nucleotide ribosomal RNA is filed under the name Escherichia coli. RNAcentral's name for it is "23S ribosomal RNA". It matches the Rfam family "Bacterial large subunit ribosomal RNA". Lineage: Bacteria; Pseudomonadati; Pseudomonadota; Gammaproteobacteria; Enterobacterales; Enterobacteriaceae. The record is from RNAcentral.
GGGUUGUGAGGUUAAGCGACUAAGCGUACACGGUGGAUGCCCUGGCAGUCAGAGGCGAUGAAGGACGUGCUAAUCUGCGAUAAGCGUCGGUAAGGUGAUAUGAACCGUUAUAACCGGCGAUUUCCGAAUGGGGAAACCCAGUGUGAUUCGUCACACUAUCAUUAACUGAAUCCAUAGGUUAAUGAGGCGAACCGGGGGAACUGAAACAUCUAAGUACCCCGAGGAAAAGAAAUCAACCGAGAUUCCCCCAGUAGCGGCGAGCGAACGGGGAGGAGCCCAGAGCCUGAAUCAGUGUGUGUGUUAGUGGAAGCGUCUGGAAAGGCGCGCGAUACAGGGUGACAGCCCCGUACACAAAAAUGCACAUACUGUGAGCUCGAUGAGUAGGGCGGGACACGUGGUAUCCUGUCUGAAUAUGGGGGGACCAUCCUCCAAGGCUAAAUACUCCUGACUGACCGAUAGUGAACCAGUACCGUGAGGGAAAGGCGAAAAGAACCCCGGCGAGGGGAGUGAAAAAGAACCUGAAACCGUGUACGUACAAGCAGUGGGAGCACUCUUUAUGGGGUGACUGCGUACCUUUUGUAUAAUGGGUCAGCGACUUAUAUUCUGUAGCAAGGUUAACCGAAUAGGGGAGCCGAAGGGAAACCGAGUCUUAACUGGGCGUUAAGUUGCAGGGUAUAGACCCGAAACCCGGUGAUCUAGCCAUGGGCAGGUUGAAGGUUGGGUAACACUAACUGGAGGACCGAACCGACUAAUGUUGAAAAAUUAGCGGAUGACUUGUGGCUGGGGGUGAAAGGCCAAUCAAACCGGGAGAUAGCUGGUUCUCCCCGAAAGCUAUUUAGGUAGCGCCUCGUGAAUUCAUCUCCGGGGGUAGAGCACUGUUUCGGCAAGGGGGUCAUCCCGACUUACCAACCCGAUGCAAACUGCGAAUACCGGAGAAUGUUAUCACGGGAGACACACGGCGGGUGCUAACGUCCGUCGUGAAGAGGGAAACAACCCAGACCGCCAGCUAAGGUCCCAAAGUCAUGGUUAAGUGGGAAACGAUGUGGGAAGGCCCAGACAGCCAGGAUGUUGGCUUAGAAGCAGCCAUCAUUUAAAGAAAGCGUAAUAGCUCACUGGUCGAGUCGGCCUGCGCGGAAGAUGUAACGGGGCUAAACCAUGCACCGAAGCUGCGGCAGCGACACUAUGUGUUGUUGGGUAGGGGAGCGUUCUGUAAGCCUGUGAAGGUGUACUGUGAGGUAUGCUGGAGGUAUCAGAAGUGCGAAUGCUGACAUAAGUAACGAUAAAGCGGGUGAAAAGCCCGCUCGCCGGAAGACCAAGGGUUCCUGUCCAACGUUAAUCGGGGCAGGGUGAGUCGACCCCUAAGGCGAGGCCGAAAGGCGUAGUCGAUGGGAAACAGGUUAAUAUUCCUGUACUUGGUGUUACUGCGAAGGGGGGACGGAGAAGGCUAUGUUGGCCGGGCGACGGUUGUCCCGGUUUAAGCGUGUAGGCUGAUUUUCCAGGCAAAUCCGGAAAAUCAAGGCUGAGGCGUGAUGACGAGGCACUACGGUGCUGAAGCAACAAAUGCCCUGCUUCCAGGAAAAGCCUCUAAGCAUCAGGUAACAUCAAAUCGUACCCCAAACCGACACAGGUGGUCAGGUAGAGAAUACCAAGGCGCUUGAGAGAACUCGGGUGAAGGAACUAGGCAAAAUGGUGCCGUAACUUCGGGAGAAGGCACGCUGAUAUGUAGGUGAAGCGACUUGCUCGUGGAGCUGAAAUCAGUCGAAGAUACCAGCUGGCUGCAACUGUUUAUUAAAAACACAGCACUGUGCAAACACGAAAGUGGACGUAUACGGUGUGACGCCUGCCCGGUGCCGGAAGGUUAAUUGAUGGGGUUAGCGGUAACGCGAAGCUCUUGAUCGAAGCCCCGGUAAACGGCGGCCGUAACUAUAACGGUCCUAAGGUAGCGAAAUUCCUUGUCGGGUAAGUUCCGACCUGCACGAAUGGCGUAAUGAUGGCCAGGCUGUCUCCACCCGAGACUCAGUGAAAUUGAACUCGCUGUGAAGAUGCAGUGUACCCGCGGCAAGACGGAAAGACCCCGUGAACCUUUACUAUAGCUUGACACUGAACAUUGAGCCUUGAUGUGUAGGAUAGGUGGGAGGCUUUGAAGUGUGGACGCCAGUCUGCAUGGAGCCGACCUUGAAAUACCACCCUUUAAUGUUUGAUGUUCUAACGUUGGCCCGUGAUCCGGGUUGCGGACAGUGUCUGGUGGGUAGUUUGACUGGGGCGGUCUCCUCCUAAAGAGUAACGGAGGAGCACGAAGGUUGGCUAAUCCUGGUCGGACAUCAGGAGGUUAGUGCAAUGGCAUAAGCCAGCUUGACUGCGAGCGUGACGGCGCGAGCAGGUGCGAAAGCAGGUCAUAGUGAUCCGGUGGUUCUGAAUGGAAGGGCCAUCGCUCAACGGAUAAAAGGUACUCCGGGGAUAACAGGCUGAUACCGCCCAAGAGUUCAUAUCGACGGCGGUGUUUGGCACCUCGAUGUCGGCUCAUCACAUCCUGGGGCUGAAGUAGGUCCCAAGGGUAUGGCUGUUCGCCAUUUAAAGUGGUACGCGAGCUGGGUUUAGAACGUCGUGAGACAGUUCGGUCCCUAUCUGCCGUGGGCGCUGGAGAACUGAGGGGGGCUGCUCCUAGUACGAGAGGACCGGAGUGGACGCAUCACUGGUGUUCGGGUUGUCAUGCCAAUGGCACUGCCCGGUAGCUAAAUGCGGAAGAGAUAAGUGCUGAAAGCAUCUAAGCACGAAACUUGCCCCGAGAUGAGUUCUCCCUGACUCCCUGAGAGUCCUGAAGGAACGUUGAAGACGACGACGUUGAUAGGCCGGGUGUGUAAGCGCAGCGAUGCGUUGAGCUAACCGGUACUAAUGAACCGUGAGGCUUAACCUUACAACGCCGAAG